Molecule: microRNA precursor, 103 nt
Filed under: Marmota monax (woodchuck)
Lineage: Eukaryota; Metazoa; Chordata; Mammalia; Rodentia; Sciuridae
Source: RNAcentral
AGUGGGAUAGCUGAGUCAAAUGGUGGUUUCAUUACAAGUUUUCUAAGGAAUCUCCAUAUUGCUUUCCAAAGUGGUUGCACUGUUUUGCAAUCCCACCAGCAGU